UACAAUAAAAUAACAUAACUGGUUUUCAAUGUUUUUUUUUUAAUUUAGUGGGAGGUUAUAAAUACAGUAGAAUUGCUUCAGCAAACUUCAGAACAUUGCCUUGCUCCAACAUAGAUUGCUACUCCAUUUAAGAAGUGAUCAAGCAUAAUCAUUGCCAUUGCGUUUGCAUUUUAUCUGUUGAUUCAAACUGUAGUUUCAAGGGGACAAAAUACAAUGCAUUCUUAAAUUCUUAAAUUCUAUAAUGAUUUGAGGAAAUAUGAAAAAAAAUUAAAGACUUCACCAAAUGUGAAUCAUUGUCUGAGAGGUGUUAUUUUGUACAACUAAGAUCCCCCUGUCUUGACUAAAAGCUCAGUAUAGCUGGGCAGCAGAAAUUCAACUGUGCAAAGGCAACUUGUGUUUCAGGAAUUAGCUAUUUCCCACCGUUAUGUCAGAUAUCGAGUGGAAACACUCAGCUCUUCUGUAUAGCAUAGGAAUAUCAGGUUUUACUGCACCUAUUCAGAGUGUUAUCAAGUAUGACAUACUAUAUAAAGCUAAAGGUGUUGGGUAAGCUCUAAAAAUUUGCUUAAACCUCGUUGGUAUAGAUUUGUUCCCCCUAAUUUUUGUCUUAAGGUGUUUAAUACAUUCUAAAGCAAAUUUCCAUUGACUCUGCAUUCAAAAAUCCCCAUGAGAAAGUAGUGAUGCAAUACAGUCUUUUGUCAAUAAAUGUGUUUAAGAUGAAGACCACUUCUGUGAUAAUUGGCUCAUUAUGUACAGUAAUGCUUUACUGCUAUUGCUAAUAGGGUACAAUGAAUCAUUCUCCCAUGUUGGGUGACUUAGAUUAAAAAAUAGAGAAAGCUCCAUCUGAAAUGUAACUGUUUCAAAACUGAAAUUUUCAUUUUGUGUUCAGUUGGUGAGGUUAAAUACUUAAAGACACGGCCUUUGGUUCCUGGUGUACUUACAGACAAAAAUAGCUCAAGAGAGAAACAAGAAUCCAUUGUCACACGACUUUCUUUGAGUGGUGUAGGGACCAUCUCUUUUUAAAAUCACUGUAGUCACGGAUAGAGAACAUAAUCUCAAAAAUGUUUAGACAUGCUCAAUGCAAUCUUUAACAUUUAUAAGAGUAGCUUGUGCAUAAAAAUUUAAACAUUUUAAAUGUUGUAAGCAUUACUAAAUGGUAUAAUUGUUCUUUUCUGUAAAUUUAAAUAUUUAUACACUUUUGUAGAAUUAAAGUAUGCCAAUUUAGUUUUCCUUUGGUAUAUGUUGUCUUUUUUCAAAAUAAAUUUUGCUAGUAUUUCAAAC
Molecule: long non-coding RNA, 1278 nt
Filed under: Mus musculus (house mouse)
Lineage: Eukaryota; Metazoa; Chordata; Mammalia; Rodentia; Muridae
Description: long non-coding RNA chr2:55117028-55118306
Source: RNAcentral